UACGGAGGGUGCAAGCGUUGUCCGGAUUCAUUGGGCGUAAAGAGCUCGUAGGCGGUUCAGUCAGUCGGGUGUGAAAUCUCCGGGCUCAACUCGGAGGGGCCACCCGAUACUGCUGUGACUCGAGUCCGGUAGGGGAGUGGGGAAUUCCUGGUGUAGCGGUGAAAUGCGCAGAUAUCAGGAGGAACACCGGUGGCGAAGGCGCCACUCUGGGCCGGUACUGACGCUGAGGAGCGAAAGCGUGGGGAGCAAACAGG
RNAcentral lists this ribosomal RNA (254 nucleotides) under uncultured bacterium. Its description in RNAcentral is "partial 16S ribosomal RNA". It matches the Rfam family "Bacterial small subunit ribosomal RNA", at positions 524 to 776 of the family's 1533-position model. The record is from RNAcentral.